Molecule: long non-coding RNA, 322 nt
Organism: Ipomoea triloba (trilobed morning glory)
Lineage: Eukaryota; Viridiplantae; Streptophyta; Magnoliopsida; Solanales; Convolvulaceae
Exons: 3
Source: RefSeq, a predicted model, not a curated record
CCGAAGCCGAAUCCCACAUGGGUGGAUGCUACUCUACUCUUAAGGCCAUUGAUUUUGGCCUUUCUGUUUUCUACAAACCAGAAGAUAGGAUUUGAAAUCCAAGGACGUCGCUCGAGUCAAGCACGGGUUGAUUUCAGCCGGCAUAGAAGGGAUCUAUAUAGAGACGCCAACCAAGAAUGGAUAUGGUUCACAAAGAUAUUGAUCUUCUUCUGGGUCAUCUGACGAGGGAUGGGGUGGAUCAGGAACUCAAAUCAGAGCUAAUGUAUAUGAGAACAAUUUUCAAGUUUCAAUAUUUCGUUUUUUCUGGUUACCUAGGAUUCUU